AGCGAACGCUGGCGGCGUGCCUAACACAUGCAAGUCGAACGUGAAAGGGAGCAAUCCUGAGUAAAGUGGCGUACGGGUGAGUAACGCGUAGGUAAUCUACCCCAGAGUCUGGAAUAACCUGCCGAAAGGCGGGCUAAUACUGGAUAGAGCGACGGAAUCCGUAAUUGGGUUUUUCGGGAAAGGGAGGAAGCAAUUCCCUUCGCUCUGGGAUGAGCCUGCGUCUCAUUAGCUAGUUGGUGGGGUAAAGGCCCACCAAGGCAUUGAUGAGUAGCUGGUCUGAGAGGAUGAUCAGCCACACUGGAACUGAAACACGGUCCAGACUCCUACGGGAGGCAGCAGUGGGGAAUCUUGCGCAAUGGACGAAAGUCUGACGCAGCCACGCCGCGUGAGUGAAGAAGGCCUUAGGGUUGUAAAGCUCUGUCGAGCGGGACGAAAAACAAGUGGGUUAAUAGCCCAUUUGUCUGACGGUACCGCUAAAGGAAGCACCGGCUAACUCCGUGCCAGCCGCCGCGGUAA
RNAcentral lists this ribosomal RNA (516 nucleotides) under uncultured bacterium. Its description in RNAcentral is "partial 16S ribosomal RNA". It matches the Rfam family "Bacterial small subunit ribosomal RNA", at positions 29 to 523 of the family's 1533-position model. The record is from RNAcentral.